GAUGAACGCUGGCGGCGUGCCUAAUACAUGCAAGUCGAGCGAACGGACGCGAAUCUUGCUUCUCUGAUGUUUGCGGCGGACGUGUGAGUAACACGUGGAUCACCUACCUAUAUUUCUGGGAUAACUUCGGGAAACCGGAGCUUAUACCGGAUAAUCUUUUGAACCGCAUUGUUCAAUAGUGAAAGUCGGUCUUGCUGUCUCUUCUAGAUGGAUCCGGGCUGCAUUAGCUCGUUGGUAAGGUAACGGCUUACCAAGGCAACGAUGCAUAGCCGACCUGAGAGGGGGAUCGGCCACACGGGAACGGAGACACGGACAAGAGGCCUACGGGAGGCAGCAGAAGGGAAUGGGAGGCAAUGGGGGAAAGCAUGACGGAGGAAGGCCGCGUGAGAGAUGAAGGUCUUCGGAUCGGAAAACUGGGUUAGGAGGGAAGAACAGAUGUGGAAGGAACUGAGGAGAGCGUGACGGUAACGAAUCAGAAAGCAACGGCUAACUACGUG
This 497-nucleotide ribosomal RNA is filed under the name uncultured bacterium. RNAcentral describes it as "partial 16S ribosomal RNA". It matches the Rfam family "Bacterial small subunit ribosomal RNA", at positions 28 to 507 of the family's 1533-position model. The record is from RNAcentral.